This is a long non-coding RNA of Ailuropoda melanoleuca (giant panda), 2734 nucleotides long. RefSeq lists it as uncharacterized. The transcript is spliced from 3 exons. Lineage: Eukaryota; Metazoa; Chordata; Mammalia; Carnivora; Ursidae. The record is from RefSeq and is a predicted model, not a curated record.
ACCAUACUUGUAAAGGGCGGCUCGCUUCCUCCUGGCUGUUGGCGAUUAUUCACCUUCUGAAAUUCCGGAAGGCUUGUGUGGAUGAUAACCCUAGGAAGAAUCUAGAUCAAAGAUCUGAGCGGAAGGUUGGGUCGAGGCUCCUGAAUCCUGGAGGAUGGGAGCCACAGCAGACACACUGUUUUCUUGAGGGAAAAAAUUUUAAGUAAUACCUAAUACAGAUGGGGUGCCCGGCUGGCUCCGUUGCCAGAGUGUGCAACUCUUGAUCUCGGGGUUGUGAGUUCAAGCCCCGUGUUGGGCAUGGAGCUUACUUAAAAAAUAAAUUAAAAAAUUAAAAAUAAAAAUAAAGUAAUACUAAUAAAAGCGAUACUAAUAAAACAGGUUAGCCCCAGAAUACCGGGAGACGGCUAAGGUACAGUUUGUCCUCCAGAGGCUUGAGAGGCAGGGAGGCAGACGCAUACACAGAUAGUUACAGAUAAAGAUGAGCUAGCAGGUGUUCAUGGUGGGAGUGACCCAGGAAGGCUUCACGGAGGAGAAGGGGUGCUGGGCAAAGGGCCUGCGCAGCUGGAGGGAGUCACCAACAUCAUGCCUCUUGGGACAUGUUUUGUCAUCAGCUGACGACUGUCGUGACUGAUUUUCCUUUCCCGCAGAACAGGGAGGUUGUGAGAAGUGGUUCAGAAACUGGAAAGUAUUCUCAGUGGAUGUGAGAAGGGGGUUGUCCGCGAUGAUGGCUCACGGGCCACAGCACCUACGAUUUUAGCAGGAGUGACACGUGCAGCUGGGACCCGACUGGCCGUAGCUCUUGGAGCCCAUUUGCUCAUCUAUGAAACGGAGGCCAUCGCACCGCCUCUCAGGGGCACUCCCAGAUCCGCGAGGUUCCUAGAGCACUGGCGCCUGGUCUCAGUGCGGCAAGAGGGUUUGAGUCCCGGCUACCCCACUGACCGGAUGUUUGACCUUCAAUCAACGUCUUCAUCCCACUGAACCAUAUUCAUGGCUCUCCUUAUGUGCCGACCCCUGCAAUUCCCCCAAAUGUGGGAAACGCGACCGCACGAUCUGUGGUCGCGGGGGACGGUGCUCUCGCUUUCCCCUGACAAUAAAGUGGCUCCAGAGAAACGGUCAUAUCUUGCUGCAGCAGACAGCUUUCCAGUUGCUAUUCCCCACACAUUGUCAGUGUUGUGUGGGAGUAGUCUCACCCCCCAAAAGAAGCAGCGAGUCUGAGUGUAGAGAACCCGGUUCCUAGCCCUUCUCCAUCCUACUUUCCUGGCCGGGAGGACAGUCACCCAGCUCCCGCUCUCAGGUAGAAAGGGCACUGGCUUCGGCCCAGAGGAGGACGAGUAGAGUCUGUGAGGGUUUCUGGAGACUCUCUAGAAGCAGCAUGGACAGGUGCCUUGGAGGGCAGGUACCCCGGGGGGACAGGUGCCCAGGACCCGGCCUGGGAAUCUGUGCCCCUCCCCCAAAGGCUGUGUUCUCACCUGUAGGAGGGAGUGGCAACUCGACCUCACAGAACUGUUGAGAGCUCUAAGCAUGAUAACGUGUGUGUACACUGCUUGGCACCAAAUAUUGCAACAGGUGAGGUCUGUGUUUAGUUCCGUGAAGGCACGUCUUACUCACCCUAUGCAGACGGCCACGCACGGAGUGGGCAGGUGCCAAAGUGUUGAACUGAACGGAAUCCUCAUCAGCAGGUCAGCACCUGCCCCACUCGACUUCCUGUUUCUCCAGGAAGUGCUGCACCUGCAGGGGCCCUGCUCUCGGGAGGAGGGCAGCGACAGCCAACAGCUUAGGGCCUCCCAUUGGUUCAUUCCGCAGCAUGACACCUGGCCCUGUCUGCUCCCUCGCUCUCGUAGCUGCAGACCACACCCCCACCCUGUGUCACUCUGCAGGAACGAGUUUGUAAGUCUCCUGUAUCUCCUUCUUACCCUUCGGUUUGUAAAUAUUCUCCAGCAUGGGGGCUCCUGGCCAGCUCAGUCACCGGAGCAUCUGAGUCUUGAUCUCAGUUGUGGGUUCGAGCCCCACGCUGGGUGUAGAUUGCUUAAAAAAAUGAAGCCGUAAAAAAUUAUUUUCCACCACAGACAGCAUCUCACAGAUUUCUCUCACAGUGUGAUUUGCCCUUGAGGCUUUUAUAUUUUAUUUUCUAAAUAAAGUUGGUGAGGUGCCUGGCUGGCUCAGUCCAUAGAGCGUGUGGCUCUUGAUCUCGGGGGUGUGGGUUCGAGCCCCCACGCUGGGUGUAGAGAUUACAAAAAAAAAAUUAAUGAAAUGAAAUCUUUAAAAAUAAACAAAUAAAUCAAAUCGGUUAUAGUAAGAGCUAGUGUUUAUGGGCUUGUUCUGGGCUGCUUCAUGCUCACUGUCUCAUUUUGUUCUCACAAGUCAGAUACUACGAUUUUCCCCACCUUAUUUUAUUUAUUUAUUGGAUUUUUAUUUACUUAAUUAUUUUAGAGACAGAGAGAGAGAGAGUUGGGGGGGGGACAAGCAGACACCCCGCUGAGCCUGGAGCCCGAUGCGGGGCUCGAUCCCAUGGCCCCGAGAUCACAACCCCAAGAUCACUACCUGAGCCAAAAUCACAAGUCGGACACUUACGGAAUGGGCCGCUGUUUUUCCCAUUUUAAAGGUGAGGAACCUAAGACUCUGAAAGGUCAUGAAAUCGCCCAAAGUCCGGUGGCCACUCGGUGGCAGAAACUGCAUUCGUGUCCAGAAUCCCACGCGCACCCACGUAGUUAUGGGAGGCUCUGGUGUGCCAGAC